RNAcentral lists this long non-coding RNA (5821 nucleotides) under Gallus gallus (chicken). The record is from RNAcentral. Lineage: Eukaryota; Metazoa; Chordata; Aves; Galliformes; Phasianidae.
CAGAGAUUUGAGGGGUUGGUAAGCAGAGGCUUGGCCAUUGAAACUGACAGCCUUGGGCUAUGCCUGUCUGCAGUUGUCAGAUGUUUGACAUCUGGUUGCUUUAGAGACAGAUAGCAGAGUGGAGCACUUUAAUCCUUCACCUAAGCUAAAAAAAAAAAAAAAUUAGAAUGGAGAAAAAUAUACAAAAUAGGCCAUGACAACAGAGUCUGUCAGCAUCUGAGAUCCGCUCCUAAUUAACAGCAGUUCCCGUCCCAGAAAUCAUACCGUUCAGCAAAAGUUAAUCAUCUUUGCUCAUACAUACAAUGCUCUUCAAGAGGGAAUGAGUCACCCUCAUUGAAAUGUCUAAUGUUAUGAAAUCCAGUGUGACUGAUGUAAUAGACCCAGCUAAGCUCUCCAAAUUGGCUGGGAGCACCAACAGAAAUGCUCAGCCUGUGUGUAAGUUGACUUCAUUGAAUUUUUUGUGUUUGUACCCUGGCUGAGUUUAGCCUUUUGUAACUAAAACAAACUCACAGGGAACAGCCAAAGAAGGAGUUGGGUGAACCUGUGAUGAGGGGCAGUGGCAGAGGGACAGGCAGAGGCCAAGAGCAGUGGUACCACCAAGCCUAGCAAUCCUCCCGGCCUGGAGCUGUCUGUUCCCACCUUUGGGACAGAAUGGUAGCACUUGAAUCCCAGCAUUCUACAUAUGUAAGCAUUCACAAGCCUGGGUAUUUAUGCUCCAUUUCAUGGUUCAAAGAGGCUGAAUUCAGAGUUUAGAUCCUGCCCAGAUAUCAGCUGCUCCCUCUUAAUUUAAGUACUAUCACCUGCAAAUGUUUCCUUCAAGCACUGGGUGCUAUUUGCUUGGCGUCCUUUGUUUAAAUGUCACUGUAUGAAUCGCUGAACGUGAUUUAAAUAUUUAAAAUCAUGUGCCACAAAUCUAAUUCUAUUUUGAAAUACCAAGCCAGACUUGUAGCUGAUGCAACCAAUAACAACUCCGCCCAGCACCCCAGGUUCCUGUCCCAGUUCUUUAAUGAUUAGCAUUUCCAAUACCUUCCACUCAACAAAUCUGGGCUCUGAGAUUUCUUUUUCAGUGCACUACCACUCUGCCAAUAGCUUUUACUAGGCCUGAAUAUCCAUAGUUUCCAAGGAAAUAAUGUUCCCCUUGGGAAAUGCCACUGUCACCCAAGACAGUCCUUUCCUAACUUGCACAAGAAAAGCUUGGCUCCAUGGAAGUCAUAAUUUCUCCAGCUCCUGGCAACAGCCUACUCUGACGAGCUGUGCUUCCACCAGGGCUCCCUUCCACAUCCCUGCGACCACCUGGCUUGUGGGGCUUUAUGCUCAUGCCUCCAAAUGCCAUCUCCCACAGGUCUCCUAUUAUAAGGUCCAAGCUGCCUUCUAAUUGUGCAGCCUGCAACUCCCCAGAACAUUUCUUUUGCCACAUGCCCUCUCUGCUCCUUUCCAUCCAGGGAUGAUUCUUGCUUCUGCUCCCCAUAACGUGCUUAAAAGUUGCCUGGUCACUUCUCUCUCUGCCUGCUCUUGCCUUGCUGUUCAGACCAGAAGUUAAGGAACGGUGACAACAGGCACAACACAUCUGUGCAGCAAUAGCACGAUUUGCUUGCAGGAUCUGGUAGGCAAAUUGCCAAUGGUAAUGCUGGUGGAAGCUGGACUUGUACCUUAUGAGUGUCACAGCUAUUUCUUGCCAAUGCUUAGGUCAAGCUGUGUGAUAUUGGCGAGUAUCCUUCUUCUAAGGAUAGGAAAGGGGGAAGGGUCCUGCUCAGGACUGGGCCAGUGGGAAGAGUCCAGGCUUGUGGGACGUGGCCUGAUUUUCUCUGUGCUGAUCAUGUUCUUGCAGGUCAUAUAUGUGUAUCCAAGAGCUGUGAGUGUGCCCAGGAGUGUGCCCAGGCUGGACUAGUGACCAGAAGGGACAGCUGGGUUUGUUCACAGAAUAUUGCCUUUUGGAUAAGUGCACUGUGGAAGGGAGAAGGAGAGAAGUUUUCCCAAGAGACAUUUUGUAUUCAAACUAUUAUUAUUUUUGUUUUCCUGGAAACUAAUUUUAUGGGCUAAAACAGAGCUGGAUUCAGCUGAGCACUAGCAUUAACAACACUGUGAGGAAAACAGAGAACUCAUUUUCCAGUGCUCUGAAAGGGGAACCAGCCCCUUGCUCAUGAAAAACUUCUUGGAAAUGGCUUCUUAGGUUUUGUUCAGUCUUGUUUAUUCACAAUGAGGAGAAACAAACUCAGGAAAUAAAGCAUCUUCAGGGAUAUCUUGCAAAGCUUUGCAAUGAGAAGACAGGCAGUGAGCCGUAAGUGAGGACAGGAGGCUAUGUCUGACCAACAGUAGGCACCAAAAACCAUCCAAACCAAGGCUGUGAAAAACAGUUGACUUUAACACCACACACACAGAGAAGGGGCAGAAUCAUGCAGGCUUCUUCCACAGUAUCUCUGCAUCAAACAAGGAUUUAAUCGGAGCACUUUACGGUUUCAUCCAUAGGCAGAGGUGUGGUGCACCAGCACAUUCCUGGGUGCAAUGCCAAUCUUGUUAGAGCGUACAACCCCAAUAGCUCUGCCAAAGCCACCAGGGCUGCUUUGGCUGCAACCCAUGCAGGAACACACUGAGGAGCCGUGGCUGCCCAGCUGUGCCAGGGAAGAGGUCCUGCCCCCGUAUUUGGUCACCCUGCUUGAAAUCAAACCCAGCAAGGCAGUGAGAAGGCAGCAGAUCCCAAGUGCUGCUCAGCCAGUCUGGCCAAGUCAGGGUUUUCCCAUACAUCUGUUCCCCUUGCUCCAGGCCUGCAUCCUGGCAGCAGCCUGGGAGGGAUGAGCAAUCAAAUCUCACCCCAUCAGCAAGGGUGGGGAAAAGUUGGGGAAGCAAAGCCAGGAGCCCGAGCUCAUUUACAAAAGUUCCUGAUGAGUGAUGAAGCCACUUUCACAAUUGUUUCCAGUAAAAAACCUGCACCAGAAAGCUUGCCACUUAGCCUCCUUGAAAAUAAAUAUUUCUCUGCAGGAAAUUGCUUCUUGCAAACAGCCAGGAUGCCUGGGAGAAACCGCCAAGGAACUGACGUGUGUGGAGGGUGGGUGGUCAUGUAUGCCUAAGCCUGUAGAGCUGGGAGGUGGUGGGGAUACAAAUGGGAGAGAGAGGAGGCACUUGGAGAGCACCAUGGGGUCUUUCGGUUGUUCCUCUCUGCCUGCCUGCCUGCUUACUAAGAGCAGCCUUCUCCUAUCAUACAAAAUGAGGAAUCAUUAGAAAUGAGGUACACAGACAUAUAUAAAAUUACAUGUUGUGUAUUUUGUGCCCAUCUGGUUGAAUUGGAGGCUGUCCUCCUGGCUGGAGGACUAUCUCAUCUUUCUUCCUUUCUCUGCUGGGUUUUAUAGGAAGUCUUGGGGACAUCCCAAGCUGUCAUUUAGCCACUUGUCCCCAGAAGCAGUGUGAAAAAAAGCUGGGCUAAUAUUUCCUGGAUAAAUUAGAUUUUGGCUCUGCAGAUUGGAUUUUUUUCAUUUUUACUUUUAUUAAAUUUUUUUAUUAUUUUUUGCAAACAGGCAGAAGCAAACCCUUCUCUGCAAAAAUGUGGAGGUUUCCUCAAACUGAAGCUGGAGCCAGGCUCUUCUUGGGUGCCCAGUGAAAGGGCAAGAGGCAAUGAGAACAAAUUGAAAACACUUCUUCUCUUUUAGGGUAGACCAACAUCAUCAGGUUGCCCAGAGAGGGUGUGGAGUCUCCAUGCUCAGAGAUAUUGGUAUACUCAACUGGGAUGAGGUCCUGCUCUAGAAGACCUCACUAUGAUGCUCUCCAGAGGGACCUCCAGCCUCAGUCUGUAACCACUGGCAGUCGUUUAUAGAAAAACUGAGUUCUUGGAGUCUUGUUUUUUGCUGUGAAAGCAUUUAAAGUGAAGAUAACGUCAACUUCUCCCAUAGGCUGCAGCACUCUGUACAGCUUUGCUUUUCCAUGGCAGUCGCCAAGCUUCUAGUUGUACCUGGAGAGACAUGCACGGUGGGCAAGGCAAGAACCAGCCCAAGGGGAAGGCUCCUACCCUCAGCCUCCUUUGGAAGGCCAAAAUCUGGGCACAGAUUUUCACUGGAGCUCUUCAGGUGGUUUCUUAACCUUGAAGAUGCUUUCCAUGUCUGAUGAGGGGCAAAGUUGAUGACAAAAAAAGAGUCAGGUGGAUGACAGGGAUGGAGAGCCACGGGGAUCAAGUGUAAUCUGCAAAAGGAGGAACACCAGUAGAGACUGCACAGUGUGAAGACACUGGGAGGCUGCAUGUGCUCUGCCUGCACCUCCUCUUAAACAGGAGGGGUUGGGUACCUUCCUUCUGCAGACUUUGCAGUGGGGCUGUGCAAGGAACAGGGAAAUCUCUUCCCACUUCCAAGAGAGAUGCCUUCAAAUUCACAGGCACUGCUGCACAGGGGUGGCUUUGCUGCAGAAAGCAGAGCACAGCAUGUCCUCCCGCUUAGUGCCUGUGGGUGAGGUGCUUUACCAGGCCCAAGUCAUUUGACAUUGUUCUAGUGGGUGUCUGAAGCUAAUGAAUCCAGAUUAGGUAGUGCGGAGGCUGGGGAGCUAGAUUUCUGCUGAAUAUACAUAAAGGCAAAUAUGAAUUCUAAAACUUUAAGGGAGUAUUUCUACCCUGGCUCAGUGCUAAUGGUUGAUAAAAAUAGUCACAAAUUAGUGCAGGAAUAGGAAGAAAAUUCGGGCUUUGUCUUUUUUUUUUUUUUAAACUGCUAAAACCGGACAUCUAUUUUUCUACCAGGAGUUAAUUUCUUACAUGCAAUAAUAAAGCAUGGAGUAAACUAUCAACAUGUGCCCUUCCCUGGCAGAAUAACUCCCACCUCAAUUAAGUAAAUAGGAGGAGGAACUGAAGUUAAAUUAAAAAAAAAAAAAAUCCUUUGUAUUGAAAAAAAUAAAGGUGAUUAAAUCAGAAAUUCAGCUCCGCAAGGAGGAUGUGAGCAUCAGGUUAACCCUUCUGUCUGGUUCCCUAGCACCUGAGUGCUUGCAGAGGUAAUGAGGAGGCAACUCGCUCUACUCUACAGAUGGGAAAACUGCAGUACAGAAAACAGCAAUUUCACUGAAUGUCACAGAGCAAAGCAGAAGUCACCCUGGUGAUUCAGAUGACUUCUGAGCCAAUUCCCAGCUGAAAUACAGCCCACACAAUGCUGCUUGGAGCACUCAUGGUUGAACUGCCAAGGAGGAGCAUCCUCUCUGGGUACUGAUGGAUGUGUGGCCACAGGCAGGUGAGGGCACUUGCUGAAAGGAGCCCAGUAGCUUUAUGAAUUAAUAUCUGGACAGUGAAUAAUACCUGGUACGUGAUAUUAGAUGUUGAAACCAGCAGACUGAGCAGUGAGAAGAUGAGCCCUUGGGAGAUUUAGCAGAUACAGCCCAGAGCUGCUGGGUGCAGAGCUGACUUAACGUAUGAGACUGGAACGAAAACCCUUUUAGGGUGCAAUGCUGUUGAAAAAGUACAUACUAAAAAGAAAAGAAAAACAAAAACAAAGAAAGAUGUGUUUUUCAGAAGUUCAUUUUUAAGAAUAAAAUGUUACUUAACUGACCCGCUUCUGACUGCUUUAGUCUUCAAAUGUUUAGAAAUCCUAUCCCACACCUAAGCUGCAUACAAUCAUAGAAUCAUAGAUUCAUUAAGGUUGAAAAAGGCCACUAAGAUCAUCUGGUCCAACUGCCAACCUAUCACUACCAUCCACACUCAUGUCACUCAGUGCCAUAUCUACACCAAACUUGAAAACCUUCAGGGAUGGUGACUUCACCACUUCACUGGGCAGAGUGUUCCAAUAUCUUGCCACUCUUUUUGAUAAGAAGUUCUUCCUAAUGUCCAAACUGAAUCUUCUCUGGCAUAACUUGAGGCCAUUCC